This is a non-coding RNA of Schizosaccharomyces pombe (fission yeast), 786 nucleotides long. NCBI's taxonomy places the organism in Eukaryota, Fungi, Ascomycota, Schizosaccharomycetes, Schizosaccharomycetales, Schizosaccharomycetaceae. The record is from the annotation of a GenBank genome assembly.
UUUUUUUUUUUGUCUCAGUAAUUCAAGAGACCCUCAAAUUUUUUAUGUAACCGUUUAGAUUGCAGCCUAAUUGUUCAAAAGCUUACUCAAAUUUGAUCUAAACAUUCGUGAUUAAUCGUUUAUGAAACCAUACGCUAACGAUUAAUUAGGAAUUGAUACAGGUUCAUAACACCGUUCAUGGAUUGGAAACAUCUACCAUUUAUUUUUAGUUUUAGUUAACUAAAAUUGUAAGUGCACUGCAUUUUUUUCGAAGCUUCAUUUCUUUCAUCGUUCAAAAAGCUGCUUUGGCAAUAAAAAAAAGUUUAAGGUUAUUUUUAGCCGAGGCUACUGGGAUUGUUUCAUAUGCUUACAAGCGAAAUAGGGAAUAACUAGCUGCAUACAAAUGUUUUUGAAGAAUACCUACCAUUGGGGCUGAGCUAGAAGAAAUAUGGGAUUUGAGACAAAAAGAUUACUACUAUAUUAAGGAAGAACUGCUGAAACUUAGACGGAAUAACCCAAGUAUGCAUACAUGCUGCCAAGCCCGGUCUUGUUGCAAUUUCAGGCUCUACACAACAGUAACAAGUGAUUUAUGGAUUACGGAUACUUUUUUUAAAUUUAAUAUUAUCUGGUUAUAGUUAAAAUAGAAGAUUGUUUCACUAUCCACUAGUUUUGGAUUACAUGCCAUUAGUGAUCAGGGCUAUAAGCGAAUAAUUUUCAACGUUUCAUCUGACCCUGGUACAAUUUUUUCAGUAAGUCACAUAUUUAUUUAUUUUUAUCCAAAAUAAGAGCUAGAUGCGUAUUUUUUAC